AGAGUUUGAUCAUGGCUCAGAAUCAACGCUGGCGGCGUGCCUAACACAUGCAAGUCGAGCGAGAAAGGGAGCUUCGGCUCCUGAGUACAGCGGCGCACGGGUGAGUAACACGUGGGUAAUCUGCCCCGGAGCGGGGAAUAACACCGGGAAACCGGUGCUAAUACCGCAUACGAUCACGGAUUCUUCGGAUUCCGUGAUGAAAGGCUUCGGCCACUCCGGGAGGAGCCCGCGCCCGAUUAGCUAGUUGGUGAGGUAACGGCUCACCAAGGCUGCGAUCGGUAGCCGGUCUGAGAGGACGGUCGGCCACACUGGAACUGAGACACGGUCCAGACUCCUACGGGAGGCAGCAGUGGGGAAUUUUUGACAAUGGGGGAAACCCUGAUCAAGCAACGCCGCGUGGAUGAUGAAGUUUCUUGGAACGUAAAAUCCUUUCGACAGGGAAGAAGCCUUCGGGUUGACGGUACCUGUAGAAGAAGCCCCGGCUAACUCCGUGCCAGCAGCCGCGGUAAUACGGGGGGGGCUAGCGUUGUUCGGAUUUACUGGGCGUAAAGGGCGCGUAGGCGGUUCGUUAAGUCGGAUGUGAAAACUCUGGGCUCAACCCAGAGCCUGCAUCCGAUACUGGCGGACUAGAGUGCGAGAGGGGAAAGCGGAAUUCCUGGUGUAGCGGU
Molecule: ribosomal RNA, 668 nt
Filed under: uncultured Acidobacteriota bacterium
Lineage: Bacteria; Pseudomonadati; Acidobacteriota
Description: bacterial SSU rRNA
Rfam family: Bacterial small subunit ribosomal RNA
Source: RNAcentral